GACGAACGCUGGCGGCGUGCUUAACACAUGCAAGUCGAACGGAAAGGCCUGCUUUCCCUUGUGGAUUGCGGGUACUCGAGUGGCUAACGGGUGAGUAACACGUGAGUGAUCUGCCCCCAACUUGGGUAUAAGCCUGGGAAACUGGGUCUAAUUACCUAUAGGACUGCAGGGUGGUGCCUGUGGUGGAAAACGAUUUUCUAGUGGUUGGGGAUGAGCCCGCGGCCUAUCUGCUUGUUGGUGGGGUAAUGUCCUACCAAGGCGGCGACGGGUAGCCGGCGUGGGAGGGUGGACGGCCAAAUUGGGACUCGGACAAGGCCCAGACGGCUGCGGGAGGCAGGGGUGGGGAAGAUUGGGCAAUGGGCGGAAGCCUGAUGCAGCGACGCAGCGUGGGGGAUGACGGCCUUCGGGUUGUAUACUACUUGCGAACGAGAGGAAGCCACCUGGUUGGAAGGGUGGUGACGGUAGUGGUAGAAGAAGCACCGGCUAACUACGUG
This 494-nucleotide ribosomal RNA is filed under the name uncultured bacterium. RNAcentral's name for it is "partial 16S ribosomal RNA". It matches the Rfam family "Bacterial small subunit ribosomal RNA", at positions 28 to 507 of the family's 1533-position model. The record is from RNAcentral.